GGAGGAAUAUUGGUCAAUGGGCGCGAGCCUGAACCAGCCAAGUCGCGUGAAGGAUGAAGGUUCUAUGGAUUGUAAACUUCUUUUAUGGGGGAAUAAAGUGCGGGAUGUAUCCUGUUUUGUAUGUACCUCAUGAAUAAGCAUCGGCUAACUCCGUGCCAGCAGCCGCGGUAAUACGGAAGGUCCGGGCGUUAUCCGGAUUUAUUGGGUUUAAAGGGAGCGUAGGCCGGAGAUUAAGCGUGUUGUGAAAUGUAGUGGCUCAACCUCUGCACUGCAGCGCGAACUGGUCUUCUUGAGUACGCACAACGUGGGCGGAAUUCGUGAUGUAGCGGUGAAAUGCUUAGAUAUCACGAAGAACUCCGAUUGCGAAGGCAGCUCACGGGAGCGCAACUGACGCUGAAGCUCGAAAGUGCGGGUAUCGAACAGGAUUAGAUACCCUGGUAGU
RNAcentral lists this ribosomal RNA (442 nucleotides) under uncultured Prevotella sp. Its description in RNAcentral is "bacterial SSU rRNA". It matches the Rfam family "Bacterial small subunit ribosomal RNA", at positions 355 to 794 of the family's 1533-position model. Lineage: Bacteria; Pseudomonadati; Bacteroidota; Bacteroidia; Bacteroidales; Prevotellaceae. The record is from RNAcentral.